Molecule: long non-coding RNA, 3717 nt
Filed under: Theobroma cacao (cacao)
Lineage: Eukaryota; Viridiplantae; Streptophyta; Magnoliopsida; Malvales; Malvaceae
Description: long non-coding RNA (TCAC_LNC001340)
Source: RNAcentral
CCCCAGUAGAUUUUUCUUCUUCUUCAUCCAUGCUCCACACCAUUCUUGAACCUUCCAUGCCAUUUUCUCUUUAUCCACCAGGAAAUCAAGUUUUCUUCACUUUCCUUUCCAUGUUUCCUUUUCCUUUCUUCUCCAAACUUCUUGAGCAUUAAAUUUACAGCCUUUAACCCCAAUUUCCAACACACCAAAAACUUAGGAGGAGAAGAAAGAAAAAGACAGAAAGGAAGAAAAAGCUUGGUUUUGGUGAUUCAAGUAAGGAAAGGUAAGGAUUCUUGUUUUUAGCUUGAGUAGUCUUUGAAAAUAAGUUAGUGACUUAGAGAAAUGUCUUGUGGUGGCAAAGAUUGGCUUGAUUGGAGAAAAAUUGAUAACAUGUAAGCCAAUAAACCCAUGGGUACAUGAAGGACUCAAAGUGGAAAAGGAAAACGGUAAGCUUAACACUAUGUUUUAAGGCUUACGGUUAGUCGAAUAUUGUGAGGAAUUAUGGUUGUUGAAAGGAUUUAUUUGCCUAAGCUAGUUGAAAAUUAUUAAGAUUUUAUGGCAUAUUGUUUAAAAGAAAUGAAAAAGGAAUAUUGUGGAUGGAGGAUUGAGAAACAAAGUAUUGAAAGUUAGAUAGAUAACAAUGCAUGUAAACUAGGAAAUAAUCAAGUGAAAGUGAGAAUGAUUGUUGCUGCCACAUAUGUGGAUUAUGUGUGGAAAUAUAAAAUGAAUUUGGAUAGAAAUUAUUUAUAAAGGUUGAAGUAGGCACGUGGCAUCAUAAAUAAGUUUUCGGUGAUAUAAUCUAAGGAAUUACGUACGCAAUGGAUAUAAGUAAUUUUAGUAAAAAUGUAUUAAGAGGUAAGUUAAUUGAAGAUGGUUUCAUAAUAGGAUGAAAAAUAUAAAUUUAAGUAAGGAUUAAUUAAUUGAAGUGUAUCCCGUAUACGUAUGUAAUUAAAUAUAUUGAGUUCGUAUUAUUGUUAGAAAGUGCAAGGAUAAGGUUAGAGAUGUGGUGGCAUGCUGGAGUAAAUAACGAGCGAUCGACCAGUGAAAAUAGUUAGAGACACCUUUGAACAAAUAGCGACUUAAUAUCUCUUUGUUUUCAGGUGAGUGAACUUGCAUUAAAAUGUUUUGGGAUAUACACAUUUAUGUUUGAUUGAAUCCCUUAAAAUGUUUUAUUGGUUUUUCUUCAAAAACUUGCACGGGAACAAGCCUUUAGUGAAAUGUUUUUGUGAGGUGGAACAUGAUUGUGAUGAAUCUAUGUACUUCUAUAUGAUGCUGAUAUGUAUAUAAGGAUAUAUGAUACAUAUAUAUUGUUAAGUAAUUUUGUAUAAUUGAUGUAACCGUGCAUGUGCAGAGUGGGUAGUGCACAUGCCGGUUGAAUGACAAUGUCAUGAUAAUUACAACCGUGCAUGUGCAAGUGGGCACUGCACAUGCCGGUAAUGAUGCUGUCAUGAUAUUUACAGUCGUGCAUGUGCGGAGUGGGUAGUGCACAUGCCAGUGAUGAUGCACAUGAGCUGGGUGAGAUGGGGUGUCCGGUUAUGUGCACUAUGUGGGGGGAUGCACAUGAGCUUGAUGAAAUAUGGUGGUAUACUAAUUGAUAUAUGCUUAAGUACAUGUAUCUACAAUAGAAAGAUUAUGAUUAUAAUAUGUGAUUAUAUGACAUGAUGAAUCUUGAAAAUUUUCCAUUUUCUUGUGAAUUGAUUUUAUUGUAGCAAGAAACAUUCUGUUUAUACUGCUUUGCUUAGAUGAUUGUUGAAAAUUCUCUCUCUUUCCAAUUUCAUGCUAAAUAUGGUUCCUUCAUUAUGAAAUGAUUUAAUAACCAGAGGUUUGAUGGAGGGAUUUUAAUAAGAACGUGAACUAAGUUGCAUUGUUUUCAAAGAUGGGCAUCAUGAUUUCUAAACCUUCCUUAACGUUGCUUGUUCCCUUCCUAUGUUCACUCACUGAGUUUGUACUCACAUUUUUAAAAAUUCAUGUUUUAGGUUUUCCUGAGUUAAAGGUGAUUGGAUCCUAGGACAAGGUGCUCCUUUCUAUACAUUGCUCGGUAGGUUUAAUGUGACAUUAAGUGUUAUCAAUCGUGCCCAGAGUCACUCCGCUGAAGGUCAAGGUCUAAUUAUGUGUAUCUGAAUAUUUACUGUGAAACAUUAAAAAUCAUUUGUUAAUCUAUUUAUGAAUAUAUUGGUGGAUGAUGCCAUUAUGAAUGUAUUAUUGGAUUUUAUGAAUCGUUUUCAAGGAAACAGUAUUUGAACAUUUUGAGCUUUGGAUUCUAAAGGAAUAAGGAUUAAUGUAUAAGAUCAAUUAAGUAGGCUUGCUUGGGCUUAGUGGGCUGAGCCCAUUAGGUCCUUGUGCCGGUCAUGGCCCCAGAAUUGGGCUAUGACAAACUCCAUCUCGAGUCUUAGGAUACAAUUUGAGACACUAGACCUUUUAUUUGUCAUCCUCAUCAGUAAAGCCUUUUAUUGAAGAACCACCGAAGUUAGAGCUUAAACCAUUGCCAAAUCAUCUAAGGUAUGCAUAUCUUGGUGACUCGUCUAUUCUUCUUGUUAUUAUUUUCCCUGAUCUCACUAACAAGUAAGAAGAUAAGCUAUUGAGAGUUAUGAGAAAGUACAAGAAGACAUUGGGGUAGACAAUAGCAGACAUAAAAGGAAUAAGUCCUUCGAUAUGCAUGCCUAAAAUUUAAAGGAUGUAAUAACUCUAUUAUAUAGAGUUAUUUUAACCCAUUUUGAGACUUAAGUAUCUAGUUCUUUGAGAUUUUAGGUUUGGAUUUUAGUAUUUCAGGUGUUUUUCUUUGUUAAGUUUGGUUACAUGUUGAUUAGUUUAAUUUAAGUAUUUUUAGUUAAUUUUAUGUAAUUUGGUUUUAAACUACUUUAGUAUAGUGAUUGCUGAUAUUACUUAUUGUUCUUAAAGGAAAUUUAAUGAGAAAGGUUUAUUUGAUAAAAAUUCGUGCAAGUAUGGUGAUGGCUUCAUUCAUAUGUAUUGCAAUAUUGUGCAGAUAACUUGAACUACAAAAGUCUAAUUGAUGUGAUUCUUAAUCCAAUGGAAAGCUAAGAGGUAUGGAUGAAACUUUUAUGUUUACCAAUUUGCCCAGUUCGGAAUGGAUAGAGGUGAAAAUUAUGUUGAAAGAGGUUAGACUGCUACAGUUCUACACAAGGUAGUAUAAUGGAAUGAGGGCCGCGAUAUUGAUUUGCUCAAGGUUGUAGUGUCAUGAUGCAUUAGUGCAUGAUACAAAAUCCAAAAAGCAUAGCACCAUGGUGUUGAGGAGAGUAAAGCCAUGGCAUUAGUUGAAGUAAGGCUCCCAUAAUAGAGCUUGAGAGUAGAGCGUCGUGGUGCUAAGUAAGCAAGGCCAUGGGGUUGGAAGAAUAAAGCACAUUAUACAAAGGCUAGGGCGCCACAGUAGACCAAGGCCAUGAUGCUAGACAAAUUUCUAAAAUAAAUUGUUGACUAGAAUUUGGAAAUAAGAGUUUUUGGAGCUUAUUUAAAAGACUUUUUUCAUAGAUUUUAGAGGGUGGACGACAAGUAAUUAUUCUGGAGAAAAAGAGCCAAGAAUGUAGCAAGAAAGAACGAGACUUUAAGAGAGAAUUUAGAUUGAAAAGCAUCAACAAUUAAUUUCUAUUUCUAAUUUUGUGUUUCUUUUAAUUUCUUUGACUUGGAUUCAUGUCUAAUUUUCUUUAGAUGAUAUUUUUAUUUGUUAUUAUGAGCUAAACUAUUUUUCUAGGAUUGUGGUGGAUUUCAACAUGUAAUAUGAAU